Molecule: non-coding RNA, 891 nt
Organism: Cinara cedri
Lineage: Eukaryota; Metazoa; Arthropoda; Insecta; Hemiptera; Aphididae
Source: the annotation of a GenBank genome assembly
UAUUACUAAGCAUAGACCAGUACGGCAUUAUACUAUACGCACAUAUCGUCGCAGAUUUGAGAACGAAAUUAUUCACCGAAAUAGAUUUCACAAGUGUAUGCGUUUACAAAAAUCAAUUUGCCUACAUUGAAUACUGUAGAUGUACGAAAUUGACCUAAUCAGUCCCCUUCCUUCCCGGGGACCAAAGAUGUAUGAUAUCUUUAAUGUUGCUCGAGUUCAAAAUCCAAUUCGAUUCGAGUAUACAAUAUUACCGUAUUUAAGAUUCUGAGCGACCGAGGGUUAACUAUAAAUAUUAUGAUGUGAUUUGAUGUGUCUGUGUGUGGUUUUUAUGUUUGUGAACAACUUUUUGAUCAGCAAUCUUGCUCCAUUCAUUGAAUUUAGAAUUAACUCUGGUGGGGAAUUAGGGGUGAACGUAUUUUUGUUUGGCAUUCCUAACACCUUGAAAACCGGAAGACCGGGAAAGUUCACGCAACAUCUGUUUUUAUUGAUUUCGGUUUUAUGCGUUAAAUGUAAUUCAAUGAAAAACAUGACCGUAGACAUCCAUAAUUGUCACCUAAUAUUUAAAAACACACUUUCUAAACCUUCUUCGUGUUAGAAUUUUCGAUUUAAGUUUUAUGCGGCUAAAACAUUUUAAGUUUGACCGCUUUCUAUGCCAUUUAUCAAAAUACAGUAUUAAGUAUAAUUUUGUACAUAGAAUUGAUUUUUGCACAAAUAGUAUAAUAAUAUUACACUGACCCGUACCAUCAUAUUAUAUUAUAAUAACACUCGUCGAACACCACGCACUGCACUGCCUCCCAAUCGAUGUUCCACUACUCUCAUUCUAUCUAAAAAACGGCAUACUUAAUAAUGUAAUAUCUCGUCAACGGGUCGAUGGGAAUUAAAAAUGCCACC